This 652-nucleotide ribosomal RNA is filed under the name uncultured bacterium. RNAcentral's name for it is "bacterial SSU rRNA". It matches the Rfam family "Bacterial small subunit ribosomal RNA", at positions 336 to 987 of the family's 1533-position model. The record is from RNAcentral.
CUCCUACGGGAGGCAGCAGUAAGGAAUAUUGGUCAAUGGAGGCAACUCUGAACCAGCCAUGCCGCGUGCAGGAAGACGGCCCUAUGGGUUGUAAACUGCUUUUGUACCAGAGAAAACCCUCUUACGUGUAGGAGGUUGAUAGUAUGGUAAGAAUAAGCAUCGGCUAACUUCGUGCCAGCAGCCGCGGUAAGACGAAGGAUGCAAGCGUUAUCCGGAUUCAUUGGGUUUAAAGGGUGCGUAGGCGGACUUGUAAGUCAGUGGUGAAAUCUCUCAGCUUAACUGAGAAACUGCCAUUGAUACUGCAGGUCUAGAGUAUAGAUGACGUUGGCGGAAUAUGACAUGUAGUGGUGAAAUACUUAGAUAUGUCAUAGAACACCGAUUGCGAAGGCAGCUAACGAAACUAUAACUGACGCUGAGGCACGAAAGUGCGGGGAUCAAACAGGAUUAGAUACCCUGGUAGUCCGCACCGUAAACGAUGAUUACUCGUUGUUGGCGAUAUGACAGUCAGCGACCAAGCGAAAGCGAUAAGUAAUCCACCUGGGGAGUACGCCGGCAACGGUGAAACUCAAAGGAAUUGACGGGGGCCCGCACAAGCGGAGGAGCAUGUGGUUUAAUUCGAUGAUACGCGAGGAACCUUACCUGGGCUUGAAAG